CCAGCCCUGGUGAGUGGAGUAUGAUUUCGGUGUGGAAAUCUCAACUUCUAUCCAGAGCAUGCUGCGUGUCUCAUUGUCCUUGCUCCAGCGUUGCCAAGAGGCUCAUUUGGAAGAAACUUUAAGAUCUUGGCAUCCUUCUUCGUUUAUAUUUUUCCCCGAAGAUUUGUGGUUUUCGUACACCUGGGGGCGCUGUGCUUCGCACACGCUACGGGAAUAAUUUGUCUCCAGGUAAAUGCUACUAUAACGACUAACAAACGUUUGUUUUGCAUGUUCCUGCGCAAGCACUCACUUACAAAAUGUCUGCUACAACGAGUUUGUCUCUACUCGAGUUUUUAUGUAUUGUCUGGCCUCUUUCUAUUUGCACCAGCAACACGAGCUUCGUUUUGUUUGUCAUUUCUCCAAUCAAUUUCUCACUAUACGAUCUGCAGAACUAUGAGCGGUUACAUUCAUUGCAUCGGUCGAACUGGUCGAGCUGGGAAUGCUGAGGAAUUUUCAACCUCAAGAGUCUUCGAGCUGGAGAUUAGUUUGGCACUGGCCUGAAGUUUACGCGAGGCGUAACGACUUGACAGAAGCUCGGGCGAAGAACUCUGAAAGAUGGGAACGUAUGUCUUUUUCGCUGCGCAGCUACUUGCGCAGCAAGCUUCAGCCUUUUCAGGUCCUCUGGUAGCGGGACAAGUGACGAAAUCUCCCAAUGCUCGGAUUUAUACAAGAAGUAAAGUCGAUUGGC
Molecule: long non-coding RNA, 727 nt
Organism: Selaginella moellendorffii
Lineage: Eukaryota; Viridiplantae; Streptophyta; Lycopodiopsida; Selaginellales; Selaginellaceae
Exons: 3
Source: RefSeq, a predicted model, not a curated record